UACAGAGGUCUCAAGCGUUGUUCGGAAUUACUGGGCGUAAAGCGUGCGCAGGCGGCUUCUCAAGUCAGGGGUGAAAGCCCAGAGCUCAACUCUGGAAUUGCCUUUGAGACUGAGUGGCUUGAGUACGAGAGAGGUGAGUGGAAUUCCCAGUGUAGAGGUGAAAUUCGUAGAUAUUGGGAAGAACACCGGUGGCGAAGGCGGCUCACUGGCUCGUAACUGACGCUCAUGCACGACAGCGUGGGGAUCAAACAGG
RNAcentral lists this ribosomal RNA (253 nucleotides) under uncultured bacterium. RNAcentral describes it as "partial 16S ribosomal RNA". It matches the Rfam family "Bacterial small subunit ribosomal RNA", at positions 524 to 776 of the family's 1533-position model. The record is from RNAcentral.